This 256-nucleotide ribosomal RNA is filed under the name uncultured bacterium. RNAcentral's name for it is "partial 16S ribosomal RNA". It matches the Rfam family "Bacterial small subunit ribosomal RNA", at positions 524 to 776 of the family's 1533-position model. The record is from RNAcentral.
UACGUAGGGCGCGAGCGUUGUCCGGAAUUAUUGGGCGUAAAGAGCUCGUAGGCGGCCUGUCGCGUCGGUUGUGAAAGCCCGGGGCUCAACCUCGUGGAAGCUGAUAAUACUGUCACACUAGAGUGUAGGAGAGGUUAACGGAACUCCAUGUGGAGCGGUAAAAUGCGUAGAUAUAUGGAAGAACAUCAAUAACGGCGAAGGCAGUUAACUAUUCUACUACUGACAUUGAGGCACGAAAGCGUGGGGAGCAAAACGG